RNAcentral lists this long non-coding RNA (259 nucleotides) under Paramuricea clavata. Lineage: Eukaryota; Metazoa; Cnidaria; Anthozoa; Malacalcyonacea; Plexauridae. The record is from RNAcentral.
AGAUUGAAAAUUUGUCGGGUUUUUAAUUACUGUACAAAAUUUCAGACACUUUGGUUUAGUUUAAGCCCUUUAACUAUUCAUUUUGUUCUAAAAAGUCAGCCUUUCGCAUGCUUAAUAAAUGCCUUUACCUAAUUUGCAUAUUGCUGACAUCUGCAAAUUAGGCAAAUGCAUUAAUUAAGCAUGCAAUAGCUGAUUUUUCGGGAAAAUUGUAACUUUGCGUGAAUAGUUAAGGGGCUUAAACUAAACGAAAUUGUCUGAA